CCGGCUCUGCCCCUCCGCUGCCUUCACCUCCUCGAAGGGGGCGGACACCAGCUCGGCCUCCCAGCUCGGGAGUGCGGAGGGUCGGCGCCCCGGAGAGUCGCGGGCGGACUUGGGCCGCUUGGGGCCCAUGGCGGUGCGGGCGGGCGGCAGGAGGAGGCCCCGCUGGCCCCACGCGUCGCCCUGGCGACCGGUCCCGCGGGGCGGCGCCUGCCGGGCGGGAGAGCCCCGGGGCGCGGCGGGGGCAGCGCUCCUGCCGGGAAAGGCCGGGAGAGCUGGGCCUGUCCUGCCUCGAGAAGAGGGGGCUGAGAGCGGACCUCAUCAAUGUAUAUAAUUAUGUAAAGGGGUGGGGGUGUCGGCAGAAUGGAGCCAGGCUCUUCUCGGUGGUGCCAGACAGCAAAUUUCUGCAGCCUGGCCCUGGUCCUGGCCAGGUUCCUGCUUCCCGUGGUCAGAAGCCUCCCUCUAUCGACCAACUAUCUCACUGUUCAGGAGGAGGGAACUUUGGUUAGAAGCAAGAGCAGGACCUGAUCUGCCAGAUAUCUGGGACUUCUUGCAAAUUGUCUUUGAAUCUGCCAUCAAAAUGAAAAAAACCCCCAACAAUUCUAUCUGCAUGGUUUUGUAGUGUUUCUACAUUGAUUUCUUUUUAUUAAUAAAUGUGUGCUUAUAAUA
Pseudopipra pipra is the source of this 666-nucleotide long non-coding RNA. RefSeq lists it as uncharacterized. Lineage: Eukaryota; Metazoa; Chordata; Aves; Passeriformes; Pipridae. The record is from RefSeq and is a predicted model, not a curated record. The transcript is spliced from 2 exons.